This 421-nucleotide ribosomal RNA is filed under the name uncultured bacterium. Its description in RNAcentral is "bacterial SSU rRNA". It matches the Rfam family "Bacterial small subunit ribosomal RNA", at positions 355 to 775 of the family's 1533-position model. The record is from RNAcentral.
UGAGGAAUAUUCCACAAUGGGCGAAAGCCUGAUGGAGCGACGCCGCGUGGAGGAAGAAGGCCUUCGGGUUGUAAACUCCUUUUGUUCGGGAUGACACACCGGGGUAACCCGGUUAGGACAGUACCGAACGAAUAAGCCUCGGCUAACUACGUGCCAGCAGCCGCGGUAAUACGUAGGAGGCGAGCGUUGUCCGGAUUUACUGGGCGUAAAGGGCGCGCAGGCGGCAGUGCAAGUACGGAGUGAAAUCUCCCUGCUCAACGGGGAGGGUGCUCUGUAAACUGCACAGCUAGAGGACGGUAGAGGGGGGUGGAAUUGCUGGUGUAGCGGUGAAAUGCGUAGAGAUCAGCAGGAACACCCGUGGCGAAGGCGGCCCCCUGGGCCGAACCUGACGCUGAGGCGCGAAGGCUAGGGGAGCGAACGG